RNAcentral lists this ribosomal RNA (450 nucleotides) under uncultured bacterium. RNAcentral describes it as "bacterial SSU rRNA". It matches the Rfam family "Bacterial small subunit ribosomal RNA", at positions 355 to 796 of the family's 1533-position model. The record is from RNAcentral.
UGGGGAAUUGUUCGCAAUGGGCGCAAGCCUGACGACGCAACGCCGCGUGGAGGAUGAAGACCUUCGGGUCGUAAACUCCUUUCGACCGAGAUGAAUACUGUUCGACCUAACACGUCGAAUGGCUGACAGUAUCGAGGGAAGAAGCCCCGGCUAACUCCGUGCCAGCAGCCGCGGUAAUACGGGGGGGGCAAGCGUUGUUCGGAAUUAUUGGGCGUAAAGGGUUCGUAGGCGGUCGACUCAGUCAGACGUGAAAUCCCUCGGCUUAACCGGGGAACUGCGUCUGAUACUGGUUGGCUUGAGUGCAGGAGAGGAAUGCGGAAUUCCAGGUGUAGCGGUGAAAUGCGUAGAUAUCUGGAGGAACACCGGUGGCGAAGGCGGCAUUCUGGACUGCAACUGACGCUGAUGAACGAAAGCCAGGGGAGCAAACGGGAUUAGAUACCCCCGUAGUCC